AUACAAGAACAAGAAGGUGGCGCAGACGUUUGCAGAAGAAGGACAACCGAUUUCAAUGCUAUUAAGCUAAGCUUCUAUACUUUUCUGUACGACAUUGUUGUGUGCUUUCAAGGACGGUGUGUGAAGGCGC
Caenorhabditis elegans is the source of this 130-nucleotide non-coding RNA. Lineage: Eukaryota; Metazoa; Nematoda; Chromadorea; Rhabditida; Rhabditidae. The record is from Ensembl.